CAGCAGCCGCGGGAACACCGGCAGCUCUAGUGGUAGCUGUUUUAUUGGGCCUAAAGCGUUCGUAGCCGGUUGAUAAGUCACUGGUGAAAUCCUGUAGCUUAACUGUGGGAAUUGCUGGUGAUACUGUUGAACUUGAGGUCGGGAGAGGUUAGCGGCACUCCAGGGUAGAGGUGAAAUUCUGUAAUCCUGGGAGGACCACCUGUGGCGAAGGCGGCUAACUGGAACGAACCUGACGGUGAGGGACGAAAGCGUAGGGGCGCGAACCGGAUUAGAGUACCCGGGUAGUCCUAGCCGUAAACGAUGCGGACUUGGUGUUGGAUGGCUUUGAGCCGCUCCGGUGCCGAAGGGAAGCUGUUAAGUCCGCCGCCGUGGGAAGUACGGUCGCAAGACUAGAAACUUAAAGGAAUUGGCGGGGAGCACCACAACGCGUGGAGCCUGCGGGUUUUAAAUUGGAUUCAACGCCGGACAUCUCACCAGGAGCGACAGCUGUAUGAUUACCAGGCUGAUGACCUUGUUUGACUAGCUGAGUAGUGGUGCAUGG
Molecule: ribosomal RNA, 541 nt
Filed under: uncultured archaeon
Lineage: Archaea
Description: bacterial SSU rRNA
Rfam family: Archaeal small subunit ribosomal RNA
Source: RNAcentral